GAUGAAGAACGUAGCGAAAUGCGAUAAGUAGUGUGAAUUGCAGAAUUCCGUGAAUCAUCGAAUCUUUGAACGCACAUUGCGCCUUCUGGUAUUCCGGAAGGCAUGCCUGUUCGAGAGUCAUUAACAACCGUUUCGAUCCCUUUCUUUCAGAAAUUACAAAGAGGAAAAGGGUUUGGUUAUGGUGGAGGAGGGAAAGGGAGCGUUUAGCCUGUAAAAAAAGAGGCUGUGUUCCGCCUCCCCCCCAAAAUUGUACAGGCGGUCGUGUGCGCCCACGCAUCGAGGUGUUGUAAAAGCUGCCACGGCACUUUUCACCUGUGCAGUGCGAGAUUGGCCAGCCGGUUUAAAAACCCCUCCAAACAAUCAAAGGUUGACCUCGGAUCAGGUAGGGAUACCCGCUGAACUUAAGCAUAUCAAUAAGCGGAG
Molecule: unclassified non-coding RNA, 423 nt
Filed under: soil metagenome
Description: partial contains 5.8S ribosomal RNA, internal transcribed spacer 2, and large subunit ribosomal RNA
Rfam family: 5.8S ribosomal RNA (bases 1-120)
Source: RNAcentral